CAGAGGUCAUGUACACUGUGGUCAACUUUGUGGAUGAUGAAGAGGUUUCUGGGUAAAGAUGAUAGAAAUAUAAUGAAGUAACAGUGAAAGCUAAAACAUCAGACUGAUCCAGACACUGAAGAAAUUGAUGUCACUGCAAUCUGGCCAAAAUGAUACAACUAUAUUGAAGUAGCCUGCUGUAAUGAAGCUGCAGAACAACACAGAGACUCUUGAGGACAUCAACACAGAAAAUGAAGGCUCCAAAGAGAUGUCUGUCCAGAUGAGGGUGCAUCAAUGUUACGUUUGCUGACAAGUAUAUGCUUUACAAUGUAAAACCUAACAGUUAACUUAACUCAAACCAUUUAAGGAAAUCGGUUGCCUUAACCCAU
Paramisgurnus dabryanus is the source of this 368-nucleotide non-coding RNA. The record is from RefSeq and is a predicted model, not a curated record. Lineage: Eukaryota; Metazoa; Chordata; Actinopteri; Cypriniformes; Cobitidae.